CUCCAGACUCCUACGGGAGGCAGCAGUGGGGAAUAUUGCACAAUGGGGGGAACCCUGAUGCAGCGACGCCGCGUGAGUGAAGAAGUAUUUCGGUAUGUAAAGCUCUAUCAGCAGGGAAGAAAAUGACGGUACCUGACUAAGAAGCCCCGGCUAACUACGUGCCAGCAGCCGCGGUAAUACGUAGGGGGCAAGCGUUAUCCGGAUUUACUGGGUGUAAAGGGAGCGUAGACGGUUAUGCAAGUCUGAAGUGAAAGCCCGUGGCUUAACCGCGGAACGGCUUUGGAAACUGUGGAGCUGGAGUGCUGGAGAGGCAAGCGGAAUUCCUAGUGUAGCGGUGAAAUGCGUAGAUAUUAGGAGGAACACCAGUGGCGAAGGCGGCUUGCUGGACAGUAACUGACGUUGAGGCUCGAAAGCGUGGGGAGCAAACAGGAUUAGAUACCC
This 441-nucleotide ribosomal RNA is filed under the name uncultured bacterium. RNAcentral describes it as "bacterial SSU rRNA". It matches the Rfam family "Bacterial small subunit ribosomal RNA", at positions 329 to 787 of the family's 1533-position model. The record is from RNAcentral.